CCUACGGGAGGCUGCAGUGGGGAAUCUUGGGCAAUGGGCGCAAGCCUGACCCAGCAACGCCGCGUGAAGGAAGAAGGCUUUCGGGUUGUAAACUUCUUUUCUCAGGGACGAAGCAAGUGACGGUACCUGAGGAAUAAGCCACGGCUAACUACGUGCCAGCAGCCGCGUUAAUACGUAGGUGGCUAGCGUUAUCCGGAUUGACGGGGUGUAAAGGGCGUGUAGGCGGGACUUCAAGUCAGAUGUGAAAACCACGGGCUCAACCUGUGGCCUGCAUUUGAAACUGUAGUUCUUGAGUGCUGGAGAGGCAGACGGAAUUCCUAGUGUAGCGGUGGAAUGCGUAGAUAUUAGGAGGAACACCAGUGGCGAAGGCGGUCUGCUGGACAGCAACUGACGCUGAGGCGCGAAAGCGUGGGGAGCGAACAGGAUUGGAUACCCCGGUAGUC
This 443-nucleotide ribosomal RNA is filed under the name uncultured bacterium. Its description in RNAcentral is "partial 16S ribosomal RNA". It matches the Rfam family "Bacterial small subunit ribosomal RNA", at positions 338 to 795 of the family's 1533-position model. The record is from RNAcentral.